UAAAGAAAGCGUAAUAGCUCACUGGUCGAGUCGGCCUGCGCGGAAGAUGUAACGGGGCUAAACCAUGCACCGAAGCUGCGGCAGCGACACUGUGUGUUGUUGGGUAGGGGAGCGUUCUGUAAGCCUGUGAAGGUGGCCUGUGAGGGUUGCUGGAGGUAUCAGAAGUGCGAAUGCUGACAUAUGUAACGAUAAAGCGGGUGAAAAGCCCGCUCGCCGGAAGACCAA
This 225-nucleotide ribosomal RNA is filed under the name Salmonella enterica subsp. enterica serovar Lubbock. RNAcentral describes it as "partial 23S ribosomal RNA". It matches the Rfam family "Bacterial large subunit ribosomal RNA", at positions 1124 to 1348 of the family's 2925-position model. The record is from RNAcentral. Lineage: Bacteria; Pseudomonadati; Pseudomonadota; Gammaproteobacteria; Enterobacterales; Enterobacteriaceae.